GACGAACGCUGGCGGCGUGCCUAAUACAUGCAAGUAGAACGCACAGUUUAUACCGUAGCUUGCUACACCAUAGACUGUGAGUUGCGAACGGGUGAGUAACGCGUAGGUAACCUGCCUGGUAGCGGGGGAUAACUAUUGGAAACGAUAGCUAAUACCGCAUAGUAUUGAUUAUUGCAUGAUAAUUGAUUGAAAGAUGCUAUUGCAUCACUACCAGAUGGACCUGCGUUGUAUUAGCUAGUAGGUGAGGUAACGGCUCACCUAGGCGACGAUACAUAGCCGACCUGAGAGGGUGAUCGGCCACACUGGGACUGAGACACGGCCCAGACUCCUACGGGAGGCAGCAGUAGGGAAUCUUCGGCAAUGGACGAAAGUCUGACCGAGCAACGCCGCGGGAGUGAAGAAGGGUUUCGGAUCGUAAAGCUCUGUUGUAAGAGAAGAACGGGUGUGAGAGUGGAAAGUUCACACUGUGACGGUAUCUUACCAGAAAGGGACGGCUAACUACGUG
RNAcentral lists this ribosomal RNA (505 nucleotides) under uncultured bacterium. RNAcentral describes it as "partial 16S ribosomal RNA". It matches the Rfam family "Bacterial small subunit ribosomal RNA", at positions 28 to 507 of the family's 1533-position model. The record is from RNAcentral.